RNAcentral lists this ribosomal RNA (497 nucleotides) under uncultured bacterium. RNAcentral's name for it is "partial 16S ribosomal RNA". It matches the Rfam family "Bacterial small subunit ribosomal RNA", at positions 28 to 507 of the family's 1533-position model. The record is from RNAcentral.
GAUGAACGCUGGCGGCGUGCCUAAUACAUGCAAGUCGAGCGAACGGACGAGAAGCUUGCUUCUCUGAUGUUAGCGGCGGACGGGUGAGUAACACGUGGAUAACCUACCUAUAAGACUGGGAUAACUUCGGGAAACCGGAGCUAAUACCGGAUAAUAUUUUGAACCGCAUGGUUCAAAAGUGAAAGACGGUCUUGCUGUCACUUAUAGAUGGAUCCGCGCUUCAUUAGCUAGUUGGUAAGGUAACGGCUUACCAAGGCAACGAUGCAUAGCCGACCUGAGAGGGUGAUCGGCCACCCUGGAACUGAGACACGGUCCAGACUCCUACGGGAGGCAGCAGUAGGGAAUCUUCCGCAAUGGGCGAAAGCCUGACGGAGCAACGCCGCGUGAGUGAUGAAGGUCUUCGGAUCGUAAAACUCUGUUAUUAGGGAAGAACAUAUGUGUAAGUAACUGUGCACAUCUUGACGGUACCUAAUCAGAAAGCCACGGCUAACUACGUG